Molecule: ribosomal RNA, 2911 nt
Filed under: Staphylococcus aureus T28847
Lineage: Bacteria; Bacillati; Bacillota; Bacilli; Caryophanales; Staphylococcaceae
Description: bacterial LSU rRNA
Rfam family: Bacterial large subunit ribosomal RNA
Source: RNAcentral
UUAAGUUAUUAAGGGCGCACGGUGGAUGCCUUGGCACUAGAAGCCGAUGAAGGACGUUACUAACGACGAUAUGCUUUGGGGAGCUGUAAGUAAGCUUUGAUCCAGAGAUUUCCGAAUGGGGAAACCCAGCAUGAGUUAUGUCAUGUUAUCGAUAUGUGAAUACAUAGCAUAUCAGAAGGCACACCCGGAGAACUGAAACAUCUUAGUACCCGGAGGAAGAGAAAGAAAAUUCGAUUCCCUUAGUAGCGGCGAGCGAAACGGGAAGAGCCCAAACCAACAAGCUUGCUUGUUGGGGUUGUAGGACACUCUAUACGGAGUUACAAAGGACGACAUUAGACGAAUCAUCUGGAAAGAUGAAUCAAAGAAGGUAAUAAUCCUGUAGUCGAAAAUGUUGUCUCUCUUGAGUGGAUCCUGAGUACGACGGAGCACGUGAAAUUCCGUCGGAAUCUGGGAGGACCAUCUCCUAAGGCUAAAUACUCUCUAGUGACCGAUAGUGAACCAGUACCGUGAGGGAAAGGUGAAAAGCACCCCGGAAGGGGAGUGAAAUAGAACCUGAAACCGUGUGCUUACAAGUAGUCAGAGCCCGUUAAUGGGUGAUGGCGUGCCUUUUGUAGAAUGAACCGGCGAGUUACGAUUUGAUGCAAGGUUAAGCAGUAAAUGUGGAGCCGUAGCGAAAGCGAGUCUGAAUAGGGCGUUUAGUAUUUGGUCGUAGACCCGAAACCAGGUGAUCUACCCUUGGUCAGGUUGAAGUUCAGGUAACACUGAAUGGAGGACCGAACCGACUUACGUUGAAAAGUGAGCGGAUGAACUGAGGGUAGCGGAGAAAUUCCAAUCGAACCUGGAGAUAGCUGGUUCUCUCCGAAAUAGCUUUAGGGCUAGCCUCAAGUGAUGAUUAUUGGAGGUAGAGCACUGUUUGGACGAGGGGCCCCUCUCGGGUUACCGAAUUCAGACAAACUCCGAAUGCCAAUUAAUUUAACUUGGGAGUCAGAACAUGGGUGAUAAGGUCCGUGUUCGAAAGGGAAACAGCCCAGACCACCAGCUAAGGUCCCAAAAUAUAUGUUAAGUGGAAAAGGAUGUGGCGUUGCCCAGACAACUAGGAUGUUGGCUUAGAAGCAGCCAUCAUUUAAAGAGUGCGUAAUAGCUCACUAGUCGAGUGACACUGCGCCGAAAAUGUACCGGGGCUAAACAUAUUACCGAAGCUGUGGAUUGUCCUUUGGACAAUGGUAGGAGAGCGUUCUAAGGGCGUUGAAGCAUGAUCGUAAGGACAUGUGGAGCGCUUAGAAGUGAGAAUGCCGGUGUGAGUAGCGAAAGACGGGUGAGAAUCCCGUCCACCGAUUGACUAAGGUUUCCAGAGGAAGGCUCGUCCGCUCUGGGUUAGUCGGGUCCUAAGCUGAGGCCGACAGGCGUAGGCGAUGGAUAACAGGUUGAUAUUCCUGUACCACCUAUAAUCGUUUUAAUCGAUGGGGGGACGCAGUAGGAUAGGCGAAGCGUGCGAUUGGAUUGCACGUCUAAGCAGUAAGGCUGAGUAUUAGGCAAAUCCGGUACUCGUUAAGGCUGAGCUGUGAUGGGGAGAAGACAUUGUGUCUUCGAGUCGUUGAUUUCACACUGCCGAGAAAAGCCUCUAGAUAGAAAAUAGGUGCCCGUACCGCAAACCGACACAGGUAGUCAAGAUGAGAAUUCUAAGGUGAGCGAGCGAACUCUCGUUAAGGAACUCGGCAAAAUGACCCCGUAACUUCGGGAGAAGGGGUGCUCUUUAGGGUUAACGCCCAGAAGAGCCGCAGUGAAUAGGCCCAAGCGACUGUUUAUCAAAAACACAGGUCUCUGCUAAACCGUAAGGUGAUGUAUAGGGGCUGACGCCUGCCCGGUGCUGGAAGGUUAAGAGGAGUGGUUAGCUUCUGCGAAGCUACGAAUCGAAGCCCCAGUAAACGGCGGCCGUAACUAUAACGGUCCUAAGGUAGCGAAAUUCCUUGUCGGGUAAGUUCCGACCCGCACGAAAGGCGUAACGAUUUGGGCACUGUCUCAACGAGAGACUCGGUGAAAUCAUAGUACCUGUGAAGAUGCAGGUUACCCGCGACAGGACGGAAAGACCCCGUGGAGCUUUACUGUAGCCUGAUAUUGAAAUUCGGCACAGCUUGUACAGGAUAGGUAGGAGCCUUUGAAACGUGAGCGCUAGCUUACGUGGAGGCGCUGGUGGGAUACUACCCUAGCUGUGUUGGCUUUCUAACCCGCACCACUUAUCGUGGUGGGAGACAGUGUCAAGCGGGCAGUUUGACUGGGGCGGUCGCCUCCUAAAAGGUAACGGAGGCGCUCAAAGGUUCCCUCAGAAUGGUUGGAAAUCAUUCAUAGAGUGUAAAGGCAUAAGGGAGCUUGACUGCGAGACCUACAAGUCGAGCAGGGUCGAAAGACGGACUUAGUGAUCCGGUGGUUCCGCAUGGAAGGGCCAUCGCUCAACGGAUAAAAGCUACCCCGGGGAUAACAGGCUUAUCUCCCCCAAGAGUUCACAUCGACGGGGAGGUUUGGCACCUCGAUGUCGGCUCAUCGCAUCCUGGGGCUGUAGUCGGUCCCAAGGGUUGGGCUGUUCGCCCAUUAAAGCGGUACGCGAGCUGGGUUCAGAACGUCGUGAGACAGUUCGGUCCCUAUCCGUCGUGGGCGUAGGAAAUUUGAGAGGAGCUGUCCUUAGUACGAGAGGACCGGGAUGGACAUACCUCUGGUGUACCAGUUGUCGUGCCAACGGCAUAGCUGGGUAGCUAUGUGUGGACGGGAUAAGUGCUGAAAGCAUCUAAGCAUGAAGCCCCCCUCAAGAUGAGAUUUCCCAACUUCGGUUAUAAGAUCCCUCAAAGAUGAUGAGGUUAAUAGGUUCGAGGUGGAAGCAUGGUGACAUGUGGAGCUGACGAAUACUAAUCGAUCGAAG